GUCGAGAAUAAUUCACAAUGGGGGAAACCCUGAUGGUGCAACGCCGCGUGGAGGAUGAAGGUCUUCGGAUUGUAAACUCCUGUCAUCUGGGAGUAAGACCUGACGGUGAAUAGCCGGCAGGGUUGAUAGUACCAGAAGAGGAAGGGACGGCUAACUUCGUGCCAGCAGCCGCGGUAAUACGAAGGUCCCAAGCGUUGUUCGGAAUCACUGGGCGUAAAGGGAGCGUAGGCGGCGUGGUAAGUCAGAUGUGAAAUCCCGGGGCUCAACCCCGGAACUGCAUCCGAUACUGCCAUGCUUGAGGGUUGGAGAGGUAGCUGGAAUUCUCGGUGUAGCAGUGAAAUGCGUGGAUAUCGAGAGGAACACUCGUGGCGAAGGCGAGCUACUGGACAACAUCUGACGCUGAGGCUCGAAGGCCAGGGGAGCAAAUGGGAUUAGAAACCCUAGUAGUCC
This 450-nucleotide ribosomal RNA is filed under the name uncultured bacterium. RNAcentral describes it as "partial 16S ribosomal RNA". It matches the Rfam family "Bacterial small subunit ribosomal RNA", at positions 354 to 796 of the family's 1533-position model. The record is from RNAcentral.